CAAACACCAAGACGGUCUGGUUCUGGUCAUAGUCACAUCCUGAUUCAGAAGACAGUCUGAUUUCAGGUCAUAGUCACACCCUGAUUCAGAAGGCAGUAUUCUGAUUUCAGGUCAUAGUCACACCCUGAUUCAGAAGGCAGUAUUCUGAUUUCAGGUCAUAGUCACACCCUGAUUCAGAAGGCAGUAUUUGGAUUUCAGGUCAUAGCCACACCCUGAUUCAGAAGGCGGUGUUAAAAGCCCUCCAAUCAUCAGCUGAAUUAGAUCGUCUUGCUUUAGCCCACACUGCUUUCCGUUUCCUUCUGAUUUCAGCCAGUUCAUCAGAGAACCAUCCCUUCAUUCUGUAUUGGUGGCUUGUAAAUGUGAACUUUGUAGAGGUGUGGAGUGUCAGGGGUUCUAUGUACAGUGGACCAGGACAGGGGACCAGGACAGGGGUACAGGGGACCAGGACAGGGGUACAGGGGACCAGGACAGGGGUACAGGGGAACAGCACAGGGGUACAGGGGAACAGGACAGGGGUACAGGGGCCCAGGACAGGGGUACAGGGGCCCAGGACAGGGGUACAGG
This is a long non-coding RNA of Oncorhynchus tshawytscha (Chinook salmon), 564 nucleotides long. NCBI's taxonomy places the organism in Eukaryota, Metazoa, Chordata, Actinopteri, Salmoniformes, Salmonidae. The record is from Ensembl.